This 235-nucleotide ribosomal RNA is filed under the name Marichromatium sp. JA499. Its description in RNAcentral is "partial 16S ribosomal RNA". It matches the Rfam family "Bacterial small subunit ribosomal RNA", at positions 1094 to 1328 of the family's 1533-position model. The record is from RNAcentral. Lineage: Bacteria; Pseudomonadati; Pseudomonadota; Gammaproteobacteria; Chromatiales; Chromatiaceae.
GAGCGCAACCCUUGUCCUUAGUUGCCAGCACGUAAUGGUGGGAACUCUAAGGAGACUGCCGGUGAUAAACCGGAGGAAGGUGGGGAUGACGUCAAGUCAUCAUGGCCCUUAUGGGCUGGGCUACACACGUGCUACAAUGGUCGGUACAGAGGGUUGCAAAGCGGCGACGUGGAGCUAAUCUCAGAAAACCGGUCGUAGUCCGGAUUGCAGUCUGCAACUCGACUGCAUGAAGUCG